RNAcentral lists this ribosomal RNA (255 nucleotides) under uncultured bacterium. RNAcentral describes it as "partial 16S ribosomal RNA". It matches the Rfam family "Bacterial small subunit ribosomal RNA", at positions 524 to 778 of the family's 1533-position model. The record is from RNAcentral.
UACGUAGGGUGCGAGCGUUAAUCGGAAUUACUGGGCGUAAAGCGUGCGCAGGCGGUUUUGUAAGCCAGAUGUGAAAUCCCCGGGCUUAACCUGGGAAUGGCAUUUGGGACUGCAAGGCUCGAGUGCGGCAGAGGAGACUGGAAUUCCUGGUGUAGCAGUGAAAUGCGUAGAUAUCAGGAGGAACACCGAUGGCGAAGGCAGGUCUCUGGGCUGACACUGACGCUCAUGCACGAAAGCGUGGGGAGCAAACCGGGA